AUGAGAAUUUGUUCUACAAAGCCAAUAACUUACUUUAGUGUUAUAUGUGAUGAGGAUUUUGUUGUGCUAAAUACAAGGCAAAUGGUUAUGAGUCGAAUGGUUAUGUUCAGAGUGCUCACCUGGAGACAUGAUUGCUUCUUUAAAGGUCUUGAAAUCACACCAGCAAGGAUUAGAGCAUUUUUGCCUAAAGUUAAAUGGGAUUCAUUGCCUUCUAUGCAUAUUACUGGUCGUACUGGUGCAGGAUGUGAAUCAAAAUGA
Molecule: long non-coding RNA, 258 nt
Filed under: Vicia faba (fava bean)
Lineage: Eukaryota; Viridiplantae; Streptophyta; Magnoliopsida; Fabales; Fabaceae
Source: RNAcentral